This 1068-nucleotide ribosomal RNA is filed under the name Zygosporium minus. Its description in RNAcentral is "SSU rRNA". It matches the Rfam family "Eukaryotic small subunit ribosomal RNA", at positions 37 to 1116 of the family's 1831-position model. Lineage: Eukaryota; Fungi; Ascomycota; Sordariomycetes; Xylariales; Zygosporiaceae. The record is from RNAcentral.
CUAAAGAUAAGCCAUGCAUGUCUAAGUAUAAGCAAUUAUCCGGGAACUGCGAAUGGCUCAUAAAUCAGUAUCGUUAUUGAUAGUACUACUACUGGAUACGUGUAGUCUAGAGCUAAUACAUGCUUAAACCCCGACUCACGGAGGGGUGUAUUUAUUAGAUUAAAAACCAAUGCCCUUCGGGGCUUCUUGGUGAUUCAUAAUAACUUCACGAAUCGCAUGGCCUUGCGCGGGCGAUGGUUCAUUCAAAUUUCUGCCCUAUCAACUUUCGAUGGCAGGGUAUUGGCCUGCCAUGGUUACAACGGGUAACGGAGGGUUAGGGCUCGACCCCGGAGAAGGAGCCUGAGAAACGGCUACUACAUCCAAGGAAGGCAGCAGGCGCGCAAAUUACCCAAUCCCGAUACGGGGAGGUAGUGACAAUAAAUACUGAUACAGGGCUCUUUUGGGUCUUGUAAUUGGAAUGAGUACAAUUUAAAUCCCUUAACGAGGAACAAUUGGAGGGCAAGUCUGGUGCCAGCAGCCGCGGUAAUUCCAGCUCCAAUAGCGUAUAUUAAAGUUGUUGCAGUUAAAAAGCUCGUAGUUGAACCUUGGGCCUGGGCGGCCGGUCCGCCUCACCGCGUGCACUGGUGCGCCCGGGCCUUUCCCUCUGGGGAACCCCAUGCCCUUCACUGGGUGUGGCGGAGAACCAGAACUUUUACUGUGAAAAAAUUAGAGUGUUCAAAGCAGGCCUAUGCUCGAAUACAUUAGCAUGGAAUAAUAGAAUAGGACGUGUGGUUCUAUUUUGUUGGUUUCUAGGACCACCGUAAUGAUUAAUAGGGACAGUCGGGGGCAUCAGUAUUCAAUUGUCAGAGGUGAAAUUCUUGGAUUUAUUGAAGACUAACUACUGCGAAAGCAUUUGCCAAGGAUGUUUUCAUUAAUCAGGAACGAAAGUUAGGGGAUCGAAGACGAUCAGAUACCGUCGUAGUCUUAACCAUAAACUAUGCCGACUAGGGAUCGGACGAUGUUAUUUUUUGACUCGUUCGGCACCUUACGAGAAAUCAAAGUUUUGGGUCUGGGGAGAUUCGCACGCCG